AAUUGGAGGGCAAGUCUGGUGCUAGCAGCCGCGGUAAUUCCAGCUCCAAUAGCGUAUAUUAAAGUUGUUGCAGUUAAAAAGCUCGUAGUUGAAUUUCGGGAUCAAUAUUUCGGUCAUGCCGUUGGUAUGCACUGUUAUCAUUGAUUUCUCACCUUCUAAAGAACCGUAAUGCCAUUAAUUUGGUGUUACGGGGAAUUAGGACUGUUACCUUGAAAAAAUUAGAGUGUUUAAAGCAGGCUCACGCUUGAAUACAUUAGCAUGGAAUAAUGAAAUAGGACAUCCGAUUCUAUUUUGUUGGUUUCUAGGAUCGAUGUAAUGAUUAAUAGGGAUAGUUGGGGGCAUUAGUAUUCAAUUGUCAGAGGUGAAAUUCUUGGAUUUAUUGAAGACUAACUACUGCGAAAGCAUUUGCCAAGGAUGUUUUCAUUAAUCAAGAACGAAAGUUAGGGGAUCGAAGACGAUCAGAUACCGUCGUAGUCUUAACCAUAAACUAUGCCGACUAGGGAUCGGAUGAUGUUAAUUUUUUAAUGACUCAUUCGGCGCCUUACGGGAAACCAAAGUGU
RNAcentral lists this ribosomal RNA (560 nucleotides) under uncultured Glomus. Its description in RNAcentral is "SSU rRNA". It matches the Rfam family "Eukaryotic small subunit ribosomal RNA", at positions 546 to 1106 of the family's 1831-position model. The record is from RNAcentral. Lineage: Eukaryota; Fungi; Glomeromycota; Glomeromycetes; Glomerales; Glomeraceae.